AUAAUGUAUAAUAGUACAACUAUAUGAUUACUAAGACUUUAUGUGAUGUUUUUCCACAUUUUGGUACUUAUUAGUCUGUAUUUCCCAGCAGGAAUUUUGUCAUUCUGUUCACUGUCAUGUCUCCAGUGCCUAGAACACUUGCUGGCACAUGAUAAAUACUCAAUAAUUAUUUGUGGGGUGAAUAAAAUAAUCCUAGCUAUUUUACUGAAAGAAUAAAUGAAAGCAUCUGUAUGGAACUAGACCUCCCCUAGGAAGUUUCAAAUGUGACCACUAACUCUGUAGUGUCAAAUACUAGGUCCUAUGUGCCAGACUACUUUAAAAGUAAACUCUUUGAAAUCUUUACGAAUAGCCAAUAAACUUCACAAGUGAAAAUGAGGCCCAUGAAGUCAAUUCCUAUUCAGAGUAGUGAACAAAUGCUUUCCUUUAUUCUGGACAUUAAAGAUAAAAUCCUAUCUCUUCCAGGGCCCUCACUUAUAAUUGCCCUCCCUUGAACUUCUCCCACUAGCGAUCAAUUGCCUCUGCACUUAAUGCGUUAUGAAACUGAGAACCUGUUGUACCAAUUUUGUUCCUAAUUUCCCUCUAAUUUGUAUCUGCUUCUAGAAUGUAAUAAAAUCAGCCUGAAUCAUAUAACAAAAUAAGAUUAGGGGCUGCAGAUACACACGAAGUUUCAUUAAAAGAACAUAUAACACAACCAGGAUUCUGAGAUAAUCAAAAUGUAAUAAUCUGCGAAUUUAUCAAGGGAAAAUUAUCGCCCAAAUGAUACAAUCAGAUGAUGAAAGUAAGCAUAAUAGUUCUGAAUUCAUGUGACUUUCUUUUAAGAAAUGAUUACUAAGGAAAAAAAGGUCAUUUAAAAGGAAGUGGGGUCUCUUAUCAAGUCCAAAAACAAAACAAAUAAUCAGAUUACUGUCUCUGAAAAUAGAAAUAGAUGCUGUGAUCUUGGAAAAGCGAACCAUUUAUCAUGUCAUUGAGGCAUAGACUGGUAAUGAACCAGGCCUUCUGGUGACAUUGAUUAAAGCAUUUGGAACACAUGUGAAUAGAAAGCAGAAAGGAAAAAAAGGAAGACAACAAAACCUAUUGUGCUAAAUAGCCUCAGGGCUGUUAGAGCAACCUCAUUCAGGAGGCUUUAGACUUAAGAUGUGAUGACCUUAUUUAGAUACUGCUUCCUAUCACCCUGCCAAAAACAUAAAGCCCAGGCAUUUGGUGGUUGUUCAAUCACUAAUAAUAAAGCUGAUUGCCUUCAAGAGGUAAGAGCUGAGGGAUAUGAAAGGGAGUAACAGCACUCUGUCCUUCUUUGUAUAUUUCUGACUUUCGGANNNNNNNNNNNNNNNNNNNNNNNNNNNNNNNNNNNNNNNNNNNNNNNNNNNNNNNNNNNNNNNNNNNNNNNNNNAAAACGGGGGGGGGGGGGGGGGGGGGAAGGAACCCAAUAGAAUGAAUGUAACUCCUGAAGGGGAGAAAGAGAAAGAAGUAACCCAACACAGAAAGGCAGAUU
Molecule: long non-coding RNA, 1489 nt
Filed under: Capra hircus (goat)
Lineage: Eukaryota; Metazoa; Chordata; Mammalia; Artiodactyla; Bovidae
Description: lncRNA (ENSCHIG00010010012.1)
Source: RNAcentral